UGGGCAACCUGCCCCCAGACACAGGGAUAACCCCGGGAAACCGGGGCUAAUACCGGAUACUCCGGUCGAACCGCAUGGCUCGAUCGGGAAAGCUCCGACGGUCUGGGAUGGGCCCGCGGCCUAUCAGCUUGUUGGUGGGGUAACGGCCUACCAAGGCGACGACGGGUAGCCGGCCUGAGAGGGCGUCCGGCCACACUGGGACUGAGACACGGUCCAGACUCCUACGGGAG
This 230-nucleotide ribosomal RNA is filed under the name uncultured bacterium. Its description in RNAcentral is "partial 16S ribosomal RNA". It matches the Rfam family "Bacterial small subunit ribosomal RNA", at positions 118 to 347 of the family's 1533-position model. The record is from RNAcentral.